ACUGCUAUCGGAUUGGUACUAAGCCAUGCGAGUCGUUGUAGCAAUACAAGGCAGACGGCUCAGUAACACGUAGUCAAUCUACCCUAUAGACGUGGAUAACCUCGGGAAACUGAGAAUAAUAUACGAUAGAUCAUAAUGCCUGGAAUGGUUUAUGAUUGAAAUGAUUUAUCGCUGUAGGAUGGGACUGCGGCCUAUCAGCUUGUUGGUGGGGUAAUGGCCCACCAAGGCUAUAACAGGUACGGGCUCUGAGAGGAGAAGCCCGGAGAUGGGUACUGAGACACGGACCCAGGCCCUAUGGGGCGCAGCAGGCGAGAAACCUUAGCAAUGUGCGAAAGCACGACUAGGUUAAUCCGAGUGAUUUCUGCUGAAGAAAUCUUUUGUCAGUUCUAAAAAUACCGAUGAAUAAGGGGUGGGCAAGUCUGGUGUCAGCCGCCGCGGUAAUACCAGCACCUCGAGUGGUCAGGAUGUUUAUUGGGCCUAAAGCAUCCGUAGCCGGCUUUGCAAGUCUCCGGUUAAAUCCAGCUGCCUAACAGAUGGGCUGCCGGAGAUACUACAAAGCUAGGGAGCGGGAGAGGCAGACGGUAUUCGGUGGGUAGGGGUAAAAUCCUCUGAUCCAUUGAGGACCACCAGUGGCGAAGGCGGUCUGCCAGAACGCGUUCGACGGUGAGGGAUGAAAGCUGGGGGAGCAAACCGGAUUAGAUACCCGGGUAGUCCCAGCUGUAAACGAUGCAAACUCGGUGAUGCAUUGGCUUAUGGCCAAUGCAGUGCCGCAGGGAAGCCGUUAAGUUUGCCGCCUGGGAAGUACGGUCGCAAGACUGAAACUUAAAGGAAUUGGCGGG
This 839-nucleotide ribosomal RNA is filed under the name uncultured archaeon. RNAcentral describes it as "bacterial SSU rRNA". It matches the Rfam family "Archaeal small subunit ribosomal RNA", at positions 26 to 872 of the family's 1478-position model. The record is from RNAcentral.